RNAcentral lists this ribosomal RNA (254 nucleotides) under uncultured bacterium. RNAcentral's name for it is "partial 16S ribosomal RNA". It matches the Rfam family "Bacterial small subunit ribosomal RNA", at positions 524 to 776 of the family's 1533-position model. The record is from RNAcentral.
GACGAACCGUGCGAACGUUAUUCGGAAUCACUGGGCUUAAAGCGCGUGUAGGUGGGGCGGCACGUCGGCCGCUGAAAUCCCCCGGCUUAACCGGGGAACGGGCGCCGAUACGACCGCCCUUGAGGGGCGUAGGGGGGGCUGGAACUUCCGGUGGAGCGGUGAAAUGCGUUGAGAUCGGAAGGAACGCCCGUGGCGAAAGCGAGCCCCUGGACGUCAUCUGACACUGAGACGCGAAAGCCAGGGGAGCGAACGGG